UGGGGGAUCGUCUAACGGCAGGACGGCAGGCUCUGAACCUGUCUAUCUAGGUUCGAAUCCUAGUCCCCCAG
This is a non-coding RNA of Candidatus Schekmanbacteria bacterium RBG_16_38_11, 71 nucleotides long. Lineage: Bacteria; Candidatus Schekmaniibacteriota. The record is from Rfam.